This 459-nucleotide ribosomal RNA is filed under the name uncultured bacterium. RNAcentral describes it as "partial 16S ribosomal RNA". It matches the Rfam family "Bacterial small subunit ribosomal RNA", at positions 338 to 795 of the family's 1533-position model. The record is from RNAcentral.
CCUACGGGAUGCAGCAGUGAGGAAUAUUGGUCAAUGGGCGGGAGCCUGAACCAGCCAAGUCGCGUGAGGGACGACGGUCCUAUGGAUUGUAAACCUCUUUUGUCGGGGAACAAAGGCGCCCACGGGUGGGCGGAUGAGAGUACCCGACGAAAAAGCAUCGGCUAACUCCGUGCCAGCAGACGCGGUAAUACGGGGGAUGCGAGCGUUAUCCGGAUUUAUUGGGUUUAAAGGGUGCGUAGGCGGACAGUCAAGUCAGGGGUAAACAGGCGGUGUUCAACGCCGUACCGCCGUUGAAACUGGCAGACUUGAGUGUGCGAGAGGUAUGCGGAAUGUGUGGUGUAGCAGUGAAAUGCGUAGAUAUCACGCAGAACUCCGAUUGCGAAGGCAGCAUACCGGCGACCAACUGACGCUGAGGCACGAAAGCGUGGGUAUCGAACAGGAUUAGAUACCCGAGUAGUC